RNAcentral lists this ribosomal RNA (466 nucleotides) under uncultured bacterium. RNAcentral's name for it is "partial 16S ribosomal RNA". It matches the Rfam family "Bacterial small subunit ribosomal RNA", at positions 329 to 792 of the family's 1533-position model. The record is from RNAcentral.
GACCAGACUCCUACGGGAGGCAGCAGUGAGGAAUAUUGGUCAAUGGGAGAGAUCCUGAACCAGCCAAGCCGCGUGAGGGAAGACGGCCCUAUGGGUUGUAAACCUCUUUUGUCGGAGAACAAAACCCGGGACGUGUCCCGGACUGCGUGUAUCCGAAGAAAAAGCAUCGGCUAACUCCGUGCCAGCAGCCGCGGUAAUACGGAGGAUGCGAGCGUUAUCCGGAUUUAUCGGGUUUAAAGGGUGCGUAGGCGGUUUGAUAAGUUAGAGGUGAAAUGUCGGGGCUCAACCCCGAAACUGCCUCUAAUACUGUUGGACUAGAGAAUAGUUGCGGUAGGCGGAAUGUAUGGUGUAGCGGUGAAAUGCUUAGAGAUCAUACAGAACACCGAUUGCGAAGGCAGCUUACCAAACUAUAUCUGACGUUGAGGCACGAAAGCGUGGGUAGCAAACAGGAUUAGAUACCCCUGUA